RNAcentral lists this unclassified non-coding RNA (378 nucleotides) under uncultured Sphingomonadaceae bacterium. RNAcentral's name for it is "contains 16S-23S intergenic spacer region". Lineage: Bacteria; Pseudomonadati; Pseudomonadota; Alphaproteobacteria; Sphingomonadales; Sphingomonadaceae. The record is from RNAcentral.
UCCGGCUUAUCACCGGCAGUUUCUCUAGAGUGCCCAACUAAAUGGUAGCAACUAAAGACAAGGGUUGCGCUCGUUGCGGGACUUAACCCAACAUGUCACCACACGAGCUGACGACAGCCAUGCAGCACCUGUCUCCCGGCUGUAUUGCUACAGAAGACGUAUUUCUACGUUUGUCCGGGGAUGUCAAACCCAGGUAAGGUUUUGCGCGUUGCUUCGAAUUAAACCACAUGCUCCACCGCUUGUGCAGGCCCCCGUCAAUUUCUUUGAGUUUUAACCUUGCGGCCGUACUCCCCAGGCGGAUAACUUAAUGCGUUAGCUGCGCCACCAAAAGCCUAAGGCCCCUGACAGCUAGUUAUCAUCGUUUACGGCGUGGACUAC